AAGAACACUCUUAGUAUUUCAGCUCUGUCCACUCAGUCCCUCGCUCCAGAGACUUUUCUCGGGGCAGCAGAGCUGCCAAAGCGUAGGUGUCCUAAGGCAAGCUUAGGGAGGACAGAAACUUCCCUACAGAGAAGAAGGGCAAAAAGCUUGCCUGAUCUUGACUCUCAGUACAAACACAGACCGUGAAUGCAGGGCCUCGUGAUCCUUCUGGCUUUUUGGGUCUUAAGCAGGAGGUGUCAGAAAAGUUAUCACAGGAUAACUGGCUUGUGGGGGCCAAGCAUUCAUAGAGACGUCACUUUUUGAACCUUCGAUAUCAGCUCUUCCUACCACUGUGAAACAGAAUUCACCAAGCAUUGGAUGGUUCACACACUAACAGGAAACGUGAGCUGGGUUUAGAGUGUUGUGAGACAGGCUCAUUUUAC
This 422-nucleotide non-coding RNA is filed under the name Apaloderma vittatum (bar-tailed trogon). Its description in RNAcentral is "Eukaryotic large subunit ribosomal RNA". It matches the Rfam family "Eukaryotic large subunit ribosomal RNA", at positions 2555 to 2992 of the family's 3401-position model. The record is from Rfam by way of RNAcentral. Lineage: Eukaryota; Metazoa; Chordata; Aves; Trogoniformes; Trogonidae.